RNAcentral lists this transfer RNA (74 nucleotides) under Parcubacteria group bacterium SW_4_46_8. RNAcentral describes it as "tRNA-His". It matches the Rfam family "tRNA". From Rfam's summary of the family: Transfer RNA (tRNA) molecules are approximately 80 nucleotides in length. Their secondary structure includes four short double-helical elements and three loops (D, anti-codon, and T loops). Further hydrogen bonds mediate the characteristic L-shaped molecular structure. tRNAs have two regions of fundamental functional importance: the anti-codon, which is responsible for specific mRNA codon recognition, and the 3' end, to which the tRNAs corresponding amino acid is attached (by aminoacyl-tRNA synthetases). tRNAs cope with the degeneracy of the genetic code in two manners: having more than one tRNA (with a specific anti-codon) for a particular amino acid; and 'wobble' base-pairing, i.e. permitting non-standard base-pairing at the 3rd anti-codon position. The record is from RNAcentral. RNAcentral also lists the same sequence under 1 other name.
GUGCCUGUGGUGUAGCGGUUAGCACACGGCCUUGUGGAGGCCGCGGCUCCGGUUCAAAUCCGGGCAGGCACCCA